This 75-nucleotide transfer RNA is filed under the name Bacteroidota bacterium. RNAcentral describes it as "Bacteroidetes bacterium tRNA-Glu". It matches the Rfam family "tRNA". Rfam says of the family: Transfer RNA (tRNA) molecules are approximately 80 nucleotides in length. Their secondary structure includes four short double-helical elements and three loops (D, anti-codon, and T loops). RNAcentral also lists the same sequence under 5 other names. Lineage: Bacteria; Pseudomonadati; Bacteroidota. The record is from RNAcentral.
GGCCCGUUCGUCUAGGGGUUAGGACAUCAGAUUUUCAUUCUGGUAACAGGGGUUCGAUUCCCCUACGGGCUACCA